This 275-nucleotide unclassified non-coding RNA is filed under the name uncultured fungus. Its description in RNAcentral is "partial contains small subunit ribosomal RNA, internal transcribed spacer 1, and 5.8S ribosomal RNA". The stretch from base 1 to 73 matches the Rfam family "Eukaryotic small subunit ribosomal RNA", at positions 1759 to 1831 of the family's 1831-position model. The record is from RNAcentral. Lineage: Eukaryota; Fungi.
UCAAACUUGGUCAUUUAGAGGAAGUAAAAGUCGUAACAAGGUUUCCGUAGGUGAACCUGCGGAAGGAUCAUUAGUGAAUACUAGGGUGUUCUAUUUAACUAGAAGCCCGACUCUCACUUUUCUAACCCUGUGCAUUUGUUAAUCUGGCUAGUAGGUCUUCGGACUGAACACCUUCACUUUACAAACACUAAGUCUAUGAAUGUAUAUAAAUUUUAUAACAAAACAAAACUUUCAACAACGGAUCUCUUGGUUCUCGCAUCGAUGAAGAACGCAGC